Molecule: small nucleolar RNA, 99 nt
Filed under: Echinops telfairi (small Madagascar hedgehog)
Lineage: Eukaryota; Metazoa; Chordata; Mammalia; Afrosoricida; Tenrecidae
Description: Small nucleolar RNA SNORA61 (ENSETEG00000026277.1)
Source: RNAcentral
ACCCCUCAGAUUCCUUACGCAUCUAAUCUAAACAUUGGUCUGAGUGGUUGUCAAAGGAGGGAACGUUAAACUGAAACCCAAGCGGGGUUGGAGACUUUA